RNAcentral lists this transfer RNA (76 nucleotides) under Clostridium sp. CAG:448. RNAcentral's name for it is "transfer RNA-Thr(GGT)". It matches the Rfam family "tRNA". From Rfam's summary of the family: Transfer RNA (tRNA) molecules are approximately 80 nucleotides in length. RNAcentral also lists the same sequence under 4 other names. The record is from RNAcentral. Lineage: Bacteria; Bacillati; Bacillota; Clostridia; Eubacteriales; Clostridiaceae.
GCUGGUAUGGCUCAGUCGGUAGAGCACGUCAUUGGUAAUGACGAGGUCAUCAGUUCGAUUCUGAUUACCAGCUCCA